This 497-nucleotide ribosomal RNA is filed under the name uncultured bacterium. RNAcentral describes it as "partial 16S ribosomal RNA". It matches the Rfam family "Bacterial small subunit ribosomal RNA", at positions 28 to 507 of the family's 1533-position model. The record is from RNAcentral.
GAUGAACGCUGGCGGCGUGCCUAAUACAUGCAAGUCGAGCGAACAGACGAGGAGCUUGCUCCUCUGACGUUAGCGGCGGACGGGUGAGUAACACGUGGAUAACCUACCUAUAAGACUGGGAUAACUUCGGGAAACCGGAGCUAAUACCGGAUAAUAUAUUGAACCGCAUGGUUCAAUAGUGAAAGACGGUUUUGCUGUCACUUAUAGAUGGAUCCGCGCCGCAUUAGCUAGUUGGUAAGGUAACGGCUUACCAAGGCAACGAUGCGUAGCCGACCUGAGAGGGUGAUCGGCCACACUGGAACUGAGACACGGUCCAGACUCCGACGGGAGGCAGCAGUAGGGAAUCUUCCGCAAUGGGCGAAAGCCUGACGGAGCAACGCCGCGUGAGUGAUGAAGGUCUUAGGAUCGUAAAACUCUGUUAUUAGGGAAGAACAAAUGUGUAAGUAACUAUGCACGUCUUGACGGUACCUAAUCAGAAAGCCACGGCUAACUACGUG